CGUGCGGGAUGAAGGUCUUCGGAUUGUAAACCGCUGUCAAGAGGGACGAAACAAAUGACGGUACCUCUGGAGGAAGCCACGGCUAACUACGUGCCAGCAGCCGCGGUAAUACGUAGGUGGCGAGCGUUGUUCGGAUUCAUUGGGCGUAAAGGGUCCGCAGGUGGUUUGAUAAGUCUGACGUGAAAUACCGGAGCUCAACUCCGGAACUGCGUUGGAGACUGUUGAACUAGAGUAUCGGAGAGGAAAUUGGAAUUCCAGGUGUAGCGGUGGAAUGCGUAGAUAUCUGGAAGAACAUCGAAAGCGAAGGCAGAUUUCUGGACGAUGACUGACACUCAGGGACGAAAGCAUGGGGAGCAAACAGGAUUAGAUACCCUGGUAGUCCAUGCCCUAAACGUUGUAAACUUGAUAUGGGGAGAUUUACUCCUUUCCGUGUCGAAGCUAACGCGAUAAGUUUACCGCCUGGGAACUACGGCCGCAAGGCUAAAACUCAAAGGAAUUGACGGGGGCCCGCACAAGCGGUGGAGCAUGUGGCUUAAUUCGAGGCAACGCGAAGAACCUUACCCGGAUUUGACAUAUAUUGGAAUGCAAUGGAAACAUUGCCGCUCGCAAGAGUCGAUAUACAGGUGCUGCAUGGCUGUCGUCAGCUCGUGCCGUGAGGUGUUCGGUUAAGUCCGGCAACGAGCGCAACCCAUGUCAUCAGUUGCUACCAGGUAAAGCUGGGCACUCCGAUGAGACUGCCCGUGUUAAGCGGGAGGAAGGCGUGGAUGACGUCAAGUCCGUAUGGCCUUUAUAUCCGGGGCUGCACACGUGCUACAAUGGUCGGUACAGAAGGAAGCAAUGCCGCGAGGCGGAGCAGAUCCCCAAAACCGUACCUUAGUUCAGAUUGCAGUCUGCAACUCGACUGCAUGAAGCCGGAAUCGCUAGUAAAGGCGUAUCAGCUACGACGCCUUGAAUACGUUCCCGGGCCUUGUACACACCGCCCGUCACAUCAUGGGAGCUGAUUGCACCCGAAGUCGCUGCCCCGACCUGCAAAGGAGGGAGGCGCCUAAGGUGUGGUUAGUGACUGGGAUGAAGUCGUAACAAGGUAGCCGUUGGGGAACCAGCGGCUG
Molecule: ribosomal RNA, 1109 nt
Filed under: human gut metagenome
Description: bacterial SSU rRNA
Rfam family: Bacterial small subunit ribosomal RNA
Source: RNAcentral